Molecule: long non-coding RNA, 411 nt
Organism: Argentina anserina (silverweed cinquefoil)
Lineage: Eukaryota; Viridiplantae; Streptophyta; Magnoliopsida; Rosales; Rosaceae
Exons: 3
Source: RefSeq, a predicted model, not a curated record
UCUCACCGCAAAAUUAAAAACUUUAAAGCUUCCAUCCCAUCUGGAAGAGAGAGAGAGUUGUGCCCUCACUCUUCUCAGUUCCCUACCGCUCUCGACAAUCUUCACCACAGAUGCUUCAGUUCUUCUCUUCGUCUUCUAGCUUCAAUUCAGAGGGAUUCGGCGACGUCAAGAUAAAGAGGAAGUGAGGACUGUCAGACGAUCUCCGUGGCGCAGACCAAGACCUCAGGUUUGGAGUUAACCUUGAAGAGCCGGAACAGGUUCAAAAGCACAUUAAAUACAAGCAGAAGAUCAUAUUGAAUUGCCAGGUUCCAUUGUUGUGAUCAUUUGUAUACAAAUAGACACUGUCAUGUCUCCUCUUAAUAUUACUUUGAAGGAAUUGCUGAGGAAUUGUAUGUUGAUCAAUGUUGUUCU